This 887-nucleotide ribosomal RNA is filed under the name Penicillium spinulosum. Its description in RNAcentral is "eukaryotic LSU rRNA". It matches the Rfam family "Eukaryotic large subunit ribosomal RNA", at positions 1 to 906 of the family's 3401-position model. Lineage: Eukaryota; Fungi; Ascomycota; Eurotiomycetes; Eurotiales; Aspergillaceae. The record is from RNAcentral.
UUGACCUCGGAUCAGGUAGGGAUACCCGCUGAACUUAAGCAUAUCAAUAAGCGGAGGAAAAGAAACCAACAGGGAUUACCUCAGUAACGGCGAGUGAAGCGGUAAGAGCUCAAAUUUGAAAGCUGGCUCCUUCGGGGUCCGCAUUGUAAUUUGCAGAGGAUGUUUCGGGAGCAGCCCCCAUCUAAGUGUCCUGGAACGGACCGUCAUAGAGGGUGAGAAUCCCGUAUGGGAUGGGGUGUCUGCGCCCAUGUGAAACUCCUUCGACGAGUCGAGUUGUUUGGGAAUGCAGCUCUAAAUGGGUGGUAAAUUUCAUCUAAAGCUAAAUAUUGGCCGGAGACCGAUAGCGCACAAGUAGAGUGAUCGAAAGAUGAAAAGCACUUUGAAAAGAGAGUUAAAAAGCACGUGAAAUUGUUGAAAGGGAAGCGCUUGCGAUCAGACUCGCCUUGGGGGUUCAGCCGGCAUUCGUGCCGGUGUACUUCCCCCAGGGCGGGCCAGCGUCGGUUUGGGUGGCUGGUCAAAGGCCUUUGGAAUGUAACGCCUCUCGGGGCGUCUUAUAGCCAAGGGUGCCAUGCAGCCUACCUGGACCGAGGAACGCGCUUCGGCUCGGACGCUGGCAUAAUGGUCGUAAGCGACCCGUCUUGAAACACGGACCAAGGAGUCUAACAUCUACGCGAGUGUUCGGGUGUCAAACCCGUGCGCGCAGUGAAAGCGAACGGAGGUGGGAACCCUUUGGGUGCACCAUCGACCGAUCCUGAUGUCUUCGGAUGGAUUUGAGUAAGAGCGUAGCUGUUGGGACCCGAAAGAUGGUGAACUAUGCCUGAAUAGGGCGAAGCCAGAGGAAACUCUGGUGGAGGCUCGCAGCGGUUCUGACGUGCAAAUCGAUCGUC